RNAcentral lists this ribosomal RNA (488 nucleotides) under Cladosporium sp. 47b. RNAcentral's name for it is "partial 18S ribosomal RNA". The stretch from base 175 to 328 matches the Rfam family "5.8S ribosomal RNA". The record is from RNAcentral. Lineage: Eukaryota; Fungi; Ascomycota; Dothideomycetes; Cladosporiales; Cladosporiaceae.
CCUGCGGAGGGAUCAUUACAAGUGACCCCGGUCUAACCACCGGGAUGUUCAUAACCCUCUGUUGUCCGACUCUGUUGCCUCCGGGGCGACCCUGCCUUCGGGCGGGGGCUCCGGGUGGACACUUCAAACUCUUGCGUAACUUUGCAGUCUGAGUAAACUUAAUUAAUAAAUUAAAACUUUUAACAACGGAUCUCUUGGUUCUGGCAUCGAUGAAGAACGCAGCGAAAUGCGAUAAGUAAUGUGAAUUGCAGAAUUCAGUGAAUCAUCGAAUCUUUGAACGCACAUUGCGCCCCCUGGUAUUCCGGGGGGCAUGCCUGUUCGAGCGUCAUUUCACCACUCAAGCCUCGCUUGGUAUUGGGCAACGCGGUCCGCCGCGUGCCUCAAAUCGACCGGCUGGGUCUUCUGUCCCCUAAGCGUUGUGGAAACUAUUCGCUAAAGGGUGUUCGGGAGGCUACGCCGUAAAACAACCCCAUUUCUAAGGUGACCUC